CUAGAAAAUUCCAUGGUCGAUCAAGAGCAGCGAUGUUGUGUUGAUGAAGAGCAGGGUCAUCAGGGUGUUCAGGAUGCCAUCAAAUUAUCUCAAGAUUGGUGUUCUUGCAGCUCUAGAUUGUCACCCACUGGGUGGAGCUCGGUUAACCAUGGAUUUGCGGCAAGAAGAACUCACGCCAAGAUUAAUUUGUUGUUAAUGAUGUCCUGCUGGCUCAGCUCUUCUCCACGGUAUUCUCAUGGCCGGCCUAAGGUACAAGCGGAUACCAGCAGCACUGGGGCUCAUACUGGUCAGCCAGGUCCUGGCAGUGCCCAGGGACAAAGCAUCGAUGACGGCAAACUUGCUGACUCUGCACUGUCCUAGAAUUUAGGGUGGAAGCCGCAUAGGUGGAACGACAAUGCUGUAGAAGUAUGAUAAAGAUGUGUCUAACAAACAACUCCGCUUUAUCCUUUACGUCCACACA
Molecule: long non-coding RNA, 460 nt
Organism: Lolium rigidum
Lineage: Eukaryota; Viridiplantae; Streptophyta; Magnoliopsida; Poales; Poaceae
Exons: 4
Source: RefSeq, a predicted model, not a curated record